Molecule: small nuclear RNA, 107 nt
Organism: Nycticebus coucang (slow loris)
Lineage: Eukaryota; Metazoa; Chordata; Mammalia; Primates; Lorisidae
Source: RefSeq, a predicted model, not a curated record
GUGGCCGCUUUGGCAACACCAAUACUAACAUUGGAAAGAUACGGAGAAGAUUAGCAUGGCCUCUGCGGGAGGAUGACAUGCAGAUUCAGGAAGCAUUCCAUAAUUUU